RNAcentral lists this long non-coding RNA (493 nucleotides) under Coturnix japonica (Japanese quail). RNAcentral describes it as "lncRNA (ENSCJPG00005001846.1)". The record is from RNAcentral. Lineage: Eukaryota; Metazoa; Chordata; Aves; Galliformes; Phasianidae.
UGAUGGCCAUGGGGUCUCCUUAUCUAUGGGGUCUCCUUAUCUAUGGGGUCUCCGUAUCUAUGGGGUCCCUCUAUCUAUGGGGCUGGUGGUUUUGGGGUCUCCAUAUCUAUGGGGCUGGUGGUGGCUAUAGGGUCCUUAGGGUGAAUUUAGGGUCAUUUUAAGGUAUAGGGAUGGUCUCUAUGGGGUCUCUAUGGGGAUUCUAUGGGGUCUCUAUGGGGUCUCUAUUGGGUUUCUAUGGGGUCUCCUAUAGAGAUGGUCUCUAUGGGGUCUCUAUUGGGUUUCUAUGGGGUCCCUAUGGGGUCUCCUAUAGAGAUGGUCUCUAUGGGGUCUCCUAUAGAGAUGGUUUCUAUGGGGUCUCUAUUGGGUUUCUAUGGGGUCUCUAUUGGGUUUCUAUGGGGUCUCUAUUGGGUUUCUAUGGGGUCUCUAUGGGGUCUCUAUGGGGUCUCUAUGGGGUCUCUAUUGGGUUUCUAUGGGGUCUCUAUGGGGUCUCUAU